Molecule: ribosomal RNA, 513 nt
Filed under: Triticum aestivum (bread wheat)
Lineage: Eukaryota; Viridiplantae; Streptophyta; Magnoliopsida; Poales; Poaceae
Description: partial small subunit ribosomal RNA
Source: RNAcentral
AUGGAGGAGUUCACCUGGAAAGCCAAGGCGUCUUUGCAAUGUCAUUUCUUCAUCUGGCUUGCAGCACACAACCGGUGUUGGACCUCUGACCGACUAGCUAGGCGAGGACUUGACCAUCAAAAUAGAUGCCCUCUAUGCGAUCAAGAGGAAGAGACCAUUGGCCACAUUAGGUUACAGUGUGUGUUUGCAAAGGAGAUAUGGACGACGGUCCUUCAUUCUUUGGGAAAGUUGGAGUGGAUGCCGGUGGCUGGCAACAGAAUUGAAGACUGGUGCAGGGACAAGGGAGGUACAACAAAAUAGAACAUAGAUCGGGCGACAAUUUUCAUCCUAGUUAUGUGGGAGAUAUGGAAGCAUCGUAAUGCUAUUAUCUUUGAUGGAGCUUUGCCAUCCAAGAACUAUGUUAUUCUUCGGAUAUGCAAGGAAGGAAGAGCGUGGAAGCAAGCGGGAUUGAUUAAAGGAGACACAGACACGAUCUUUCACGAGGUGGAAACGUGGGUUAGUGCGAGGAGUUAG